GACGAACGCUGGCGGCGUGCUUAACACAUGCAAGUCGAACGAAGAGCGACGGAAGCUUGCUUCUAUCAAUCUUAGUGGCGAACGGGUGAGUAACGCGUAAUCAACCUGCCCUUCAGAGGGGGACAACAGUUGGAAACGACUGCUAAUACCGCAUACGAUCUAAUCUCGGCAUCGAGGAUGGAUGAAAGGUGGCCUCUACAUGUAAGCUAUCACUGAAGGAGGGGAUUGCGGCUGAUUAGCUAGUUGGAGGGGUAACGGCCCACCAAGGCGAUGAUCAGUAGCCGGUCUGAGAGGAUGAACGGCCACAUUGGGACUGAGACACGGCCCAGACUCCUACGGGAGGCAGCAGUGGGGAAUCUUCCGCAAUGGACGAAAGUCUGACGGAGCAACGCCGCGGGAGGGAGGACGGCCUUCGGGUUGUAAAGCUCUGUUAAUCGGGACGAAAGGCCUUCUUGCGAAUAGUGAGAAGGAUUGACGGUACCGGAAUAGAAAGCCACGGCUAACUACGUG
This 510-nucleotide ribosomal RNA is filed under the name uncultured bacterium. RNAcentral describes it as "partial 16S ribosomal RNA". It matches the Rfam family "Bacterial small subunit ribosomal RNA", at positions 28 to 507 of the family's 1533-position model. The record is from RNAcentral.